AAUCUUAUGUAAAUUUUAUAAGACAAUUUCUGCCCAAUGAUUUUUUUAAUGGCCGCAGUACCUUGACUGUGCUAAGGUAGCAUAAUCAAUUGGCUUUUAAAUGAAGUCUAGAAUGAAAGGAUAUUUGAAGUAAUGAUUGUCUCUACCUUACUUUAUUGAAAUUGCUUAUUUAGGUGAAAAGACCUUUUUCUUCAAGAAAGACGAGAAGACCCUUAGAAUUUUAAAUAUAUAUAUAUUAUUAUACCUUUUUUGUUGGGGUGACACAUUAACAGCUUUAACUUUUUUUUAUACAAGACAGUAUUAUGAGAAAGAGAAAAUUACCUUAGGGAUAACAGCAUAAUUUUUUUAUUAGAUUAUGACCUCGAUGUUGGACUAGGAACCUAAUAAUUAGUAAUUAAAUUGGUAAGUUCUGUUCGAACUAAAUUUUCCU
This 430-nucleotide ribosomal RNA is filed under the name Gulella menkeana. Its description in RNAcentral is "partial 16S ribosomal RNA". Lineage: Eukaryota; Metazoa; Mollusca; Gastropoda; Stylommatophora; Streptaxidae. The record is from RNAcentral.